UACAGAGGGGGCAAGCGUUGUUCGGAAUUACUGGGCGUAAAGGGCGCGUAGGCGGCCUUCUAAGUCAGACGUGAAAUCCCUCGGCUCAACCGGGGAACUGCGUCUGAGACUGGAAGGCUUGAAUCCGGGAGAGGGAUGUGGAAUUCCAGGUGUAGCGGUGAAAUGCGUAGAUAUCAGGAGGAACACCGAUGGCGAAGGCAGGUCUCUGGGCCACUACUGACGCUGAGAAGCGAAAGCAUGGGGAGCGAACAGG
This 253-nucleotide ribosomal RNA is filed under the name uncultured bacterium. RNAcentral's name for it is "partial 16S ribosomal RNA". It matches the Rfam family "Bacterial small subunit ribosomal RNA", at positions 524 to 776 of the family's 1533-position model. The record is from RNAcentral.